UACCUUGUUGAUCCUGCCAGUAGUCAUAUUCUUGUAUCAAAGAUUAAGCCAUGCAUGUGUAAGUAUGAACAAAUUCAGACUGUGAAACUGCGAAUGGCUCAUUAAAUCAGUUACACUUUGUUAGAUGGUAUCUACUACUCGGAUAACCGUAGUAAUUCUAGAGCUAAUACAUGCAAUAAACCCCAACUUCUUGAAGGGAUGCAUUUAUUAGAUAAAAGGUCGACGCAGGCUCUGUCGGUUGCUGCAAUGAUUCAUAAUAACUCGACGGAUCGCACGGCCAUCAUGCCGGCGACGCAUCAUUCAAAUUUCUGCCCUAUGAACUUUUGAUGAUAGGAUAGUGGCCUACCAUGGUGGUGAAGUGUGACGGAGAAUUAGGGUUCGAUUCCGAAGAGGGAGCCUGUGAAAUGGCUACCACAUCCAAGGAAGGCAGUAGGUGUGCAAAUUACCCAACCCUGACACGGGGAGGUAGUGACAAUAAAUAACAAUACUAGGCUCCAUGAGUCUGGUAAUUGGAAUGAGUACAAUCUAAAUCCCUUAACAAGGAUCCAUUGGAGGGCAAGUCUGGUGCAAGCAGUCGCGGUAAUUCCAGCUCCAAUAGCGUAUAUUUAAGUUGUUGCAAUUAAAAAGCUCGUAGUUGGACUUUGGGAUGGGCCGGCCGGUCCGCCCUAGAUGUGCACCGGUCGUCUCGUCCCUUCUGUCGGGUGAUGCGCUCAUGGCGUUUAGUGGUCGGGUCAUGCCUCCGACGCUGUUACUUUGAAGAAUUAGAGUGCUCAAUGAAAUCCUACUAUGACGUCCCGCCAUCCAUCCAGGCAGAACGCCACCCAACCUGGCAGCCAGCAGCAGGCGCAAGGGGGCAUAUAGCACAAGCCGGCCAGCAGGCCAAUGGGCAGGCAGCAGUUGGAGAGGCAGCCGUUACAACAGUUUCAGCUGUUACGGAUGUUACACCCGUUACAGCUGUUACAGCAGGUAGUGGGGCGGCAGUUACAAGCAUUGAAGAGGUUGUUCAAGGCCUCUAGGCGUUAGGGCAGACUAGGAGCAUCUAGGAGUCCUUUUUGGAAGACUUAGAAGCAUGUCUUGUAGGCAUAGACUUAGGAACUUCUAUAGUGUAGCAUUUACUAACUCUUAGGCAUUAGAGUAGUAUAAAUAGUAGUUCAUUUUACUUGUAAAGCAUCCAAUAAUUUCAGCAAGUAAUAGAAGUUCCUUCUUCCAAAAUUCUGUCUACUUCUUAUUUUCUUAGCAAUCCGAGUGAGAGGCUAACUUGAGUUUGCAAGAACGUGCAAGAAUCGUGAGUAAACUGUCAAGUGCCGCACGGAGUAUUGUCCGAAUAAAAAAGUCCGUGACACUAUGCUCUGUAUACAUUAGCAUGGGAUAACAUUAUAGGAUUUCGAUCAUAUUACGUUGGCCUUCAGGAUAGGAGUAAUGAUUAACAAGGAUAGUCAGGGGCAUUCGUAUUUCAUAGUCAGAGGUGAAAUUCUUGGAUUUAUGAAAGAUGAACAACUGCAAAGCAUUUGCCAGGAAUAUUUUCAUUAACCAAGAACGAAAUUUGGGGGCUCAAAGAUGAUCAGAUACCAUCCUAUUCUCAACCAUAAACAAUGCCGACCAGGGAUCGACGGAUGUUGCUUUUAGGACUCUGCCGCCACCUUAUGAGAAAUCAAAAUUUUCGGGUUCCGGAGGGAGUAUGGUCGCAAGGCGGAAACUUAAAGGAAUUGACGGAAGGGCACCACCAGGAGUGGAGCCUGCAGCUUUAUUUGACUCAACACGGGGAAACUUACCAUGUCCAAGCAUAGUAAGGAUUGACAGACUGAGAGCUCUUUCUUGAUUCUACGGGUGGUGGUAUAUGGCUGUUCUUAGUUGGUGAAGCGAUUUGUCUGGUUAAUUCUGUUAACGAUCGAGACCUCAUCCUGCUAACUAGCUAUGUGGAGGUAUCCCUUCGCGGCCAACUUCAUAGAGGGACUACGACCUUUUAGGCCACGGAUGUUUGAGGCAAUAACAGCUCUGUGAUGCCCUUAAGUGUUAUGGGCCGCACGUGCGCUACACUGAUUAUUCAACGAGCUUAUAGCCUUUGCCGACAGGCCCGGGUAAUCUUUGAAAUUUCAUCGUGAUAGGGAUAUAUUAUUGCAUUUAUUGGUCUUCAAUGAGGAAUUCCUAGUAAGCGCGAGUCAUCAGCUCGUGUUGACUAUGUCCCUGCCCUUUGUACACACCGCCCGUCGCUCCUACCAAUUGAAUGAUCCGAUGAAAUGUUCGGAUCGCGGCGACAUGGGCGGUUCGCUUCCCACAAUGUUGCGAGAAGUCCAUUGUACCUUAUCAUUUAGAGGAAGGAGAAGUCGUAACAAGGUUUUCAUAGGUGAACCUGCGGAAGGAUCAUUG
Molecule: non-coding RNA, 2367 nt
Organism: Solanum lycopersicum (tomato)
Lineage: Eukaryota; Viridiplantae; Streptophyta; Magnoliopsida; Solanales; Solanaceae
Source: Rfam